Molecule: long non-coding RNA, 1207 nt
Filed under: Coturnix japonica (Japanese quail)
Lineage: Eukaryota; Metazoa; Chordata; Aves; Galliformes; Phasianidae
Description: lncRNA (ENSCJPG00005020475.1)
Source: RNAcentral
GUUUUUUAAAGAGUUGAGUAGACAGAUGAGUGCUCUGACGAAUGGCUAAAGGGCCUGAUUGUUCAAAAAGUGUUUUAAAUUAAACAAAAGCAUGUAGAUACAUUACGGCCAGUUUAAAUUGUUAUUCCGUUCAAUUAAUACAAACUCUGCUUUUGUAUUUAAAUUUUCUUAUCUGAACUAUUUAUAAAUUCUUUUUUUGAAUUUAAUUACCUGACCUCAUUUAAUAUACAUCAAACACAAAUACGGUUUGUAGCAGGCCUUGCUUUUUUAAAUGUUUCAAAACCACUGAAAAGUUAAGUGUUGUAAACAUCUGGGAGUAUUUGAAGAGGGUACGUGUUUAUAAUAGUAUGUGUUGCAAGUGAGGAAGUGCCAUCUUGUGGUAUUGACUUGUAUUUAUAAGCAAAUAAAAUGCUAAAGAGAGUGCGAAAGUUGCUUCUGGUAUGUUGAAUUAAAUGUGUAUAAACAACAUUCAUUAUUAGUCUUUCACUGUGUCUGAGACUGAAUGCUGAUUUCAAACAUUUCUGGCAUGUUUAAUGCUGUAGUGAUUAGCUGAAGAAAUGGUGUAGACAAGCACAAGUUGAGAGAGUAAUUGCAGAUCUGGAGAACGCUUGGGCCUAUUUUUAGCUCAAUGCUACUUCUUUGGAGAAUAAUUAGAUAGAAGGGAAGAAAAGAAUUAUUAGCAGCUCUUGUCAAUGUGCAGUUGCUGAGCAGGGCUUUAUGACAAGAGAAGAGCAUCACGAGGCUGAAGGCGAUGCUCGUGGUGUCACAGCACUGCUAAGGUUCAGAGUUUGAACGCUAUGAUUUCACUGAAGUUACGGCUCUGCAAAUAGGUUUACUUCCCAGGCAGGGCAGGAGGUCGCAGAAUCAAGCCAUGGUGGUGCUGUGGCUGCAAAGCAAGGUCAGAAACUCUCUUUCCUCUUCCACAGAAACAAAUAUGGAUGGAAUCAAGAGUGAACGCUAUCUCAGUCAGUUGCAGAGAACCCAGCUUCCUGCCAGGGGUGUUUGGCUGCUCCUACUUUCUGCCUUGGAGUUUGCCCAGUACUGAACCUUUGAGUGGCGUAUGAGUUACAAGAGGAAUGACAGUCUGGUGCUGCUAGGAAGAGUGCUGCCAGACCGUAACAUAGUGUAUCUGUGGGAUAUGAUGUAAGGAGAAUGGUAGCUUGUUAAAGAAAGGUGAUGGAAUAAACUCAAUUAAGAGAGCUGCUCA